RNAcentral lists this long non-coding RNA (3872 nucleotides) under Sus scrofa (pig). Its description in RNAcentral is "lncRNA (ENSSSCG00050021378.1)". The record is from RNAcentral. Lineage: Eukaryota; Metazoa; Chordata; Mammalia; Artiodactyla; Suidae.
UUAAUGUCAUCAUUUAAGAUGACAUAUUUUCCAGUUAAGUAGUUGGGGUGAAAAAAGGCAAACCCAAGUGCUAUUUUUUUGAAAUGCUUUCUUACAAUGUUGGUCCCUGACUAGUAGUUAGGAACUUGGAUAUUGAGAGGGUUCCCACCAUAAAUUACCAUAAAUUAACCUAGGUACCUUGUGGUCAGAGAGCAGAUAAAUGAUAUUAAAACUCUGAUAUUUUUGAGACUUAUUUCCAGGCCUAGUAUAUGUUUAGUUUCCAAUGAUGAUGCAGGUAUGUUUAUAAAAAAAGUAUGUGUAUUGUGAAAUUAUUAUUUGCAGUUGUAUGUAAGUACUGUCAGAUUUAAAAACCAUACAGUGUAAUAGCCCUAAUUGAUUCUAUUCAGUGACUUCCUGAGGAUUAUAGCUCAGGAGGCAGCCUUUUUGGGUAUCUCUGAAAAGCUGUUCUGAAGAAGUAUGUGGAGUUUAGUAUCCAUGUCAUUUUCGCUAAGGCUAUGUGCAACCAAGCACACAUCCCAGUAAAACAUCGCUGCUAGUCAAUGAGGAACAGAUAUCUUAGUUAAUAGUUUUAGUGCUUUUCUAAGUAUGGGAAAAUGCAAGGAUUAGGGUUCAUUAAAUUUUCUCCUGAAAAUAACUCUCUAAAGUCCUGUUCUGCCAAUUUUCCUAGAGCACAGACUACCUCAUUCCUGACUUCCAUGCUGAAUUCCCUUCAGGGUGUGUCAAAAGCAUGGAGAAGUUCCAGAACCAGGAAUCAAACCUGCACCGUAGCUGCAACUGAAGUCACAGCAGUGACAAAGCUGGAUCCUUAACCUGCUGCACCACCAGGGAACUCCAAUUUUUUCUAAUAUUUUAAUUCUAUCUUUUCUAAUUAGAAAAAAAUAGAUAUUACUAUUGCCAUUGUUGUUUACAUGUCACAUUGGUUUAGAAUUGCCCACAUAUUGUCUUUCUCUAACAAAAGAUCUGAUAAAUAAUCACAUCUACUUGUUCAGACUCUGAACUAAUUAAAAGAUAAGCAAGGAUUCAAACAUAUGGGGAAAAAAUGACAUAUUCAAGAAUGUGGCUUAAAUCUGCAGGCAAGAGAGUUUCAUGAUACUGAGCCACAGAAAGAAACUUUAUCCACACUCCAAUGAAAAUAGGGGUCCAUCUCAAUGUGAGAGUACUCCCCUAGAAAUAUGGAUCGAGGAUCAGCAUGGACCUUGUGCAUGCUAGCCAUAGGCAUCUGAUUACAAACAGUGUACAGCACCAGUUCUUUUGUUAUAUGUUAAGUACCAUAUAAUAGAAAGUUUUGUAAUCAAUGUAAAAUCCUCUGUUCUGCCCCUUUCUUAAGAAUUUGUAGCACUUAAAUGAAGAUGAAAGUUUAAAUCUGCUUUUCUUUUUAGGGCUGUACUAUGGCAUAUGGAAGUUUCUGGGCUAGGGGUUGAAUUGGAGCUGCAGGUGCCUGCCUACACCACAGCCACAGCAAAGCUGGAUCCAAGCCACAUUGCAACCUACACCACAGCUCAUGGCAAUGCCAGAUCUUUAGCCCAUUGAGUGUGGCCAGGGAUCAAACCCAAGUCUUCAUGGAUACUAGUCACGUUCAUUACCACUGAGCCACAACAGGAACUCCUAAAAUGAUUUUCUUAAACUACAAUUCUCUGAUAAUAUUUUUAAUUUUUUUUUAUAAUUUCUAGGGAGAACAAGAUAUCAAAGGGUUGACACAGGAGCAUAUAACACUGUGGUAUUUAAAAUAUAUAGCAAAUAGCUAUAUAUAUAUAUAUAUAAAGAGAGAGAGAGCAUGAGACAGAGAGAGAGAGAAGUGUUUUCAACGAAUUCUAGGGGUCAAGAUCAGAGCUCUUUCCUUGAAGAACUGAGCUAGUAGGCAAAUCAUUUAAGUAAUGAUUGUGCAAAGGAUAUAUAAGAAUCAGUCAUUAAAGCUGAGGUAAAAUCAGGGAUAGCACAUUGAAAUUUUGGCAGAAAUGAUAUCAUUAAUAUACAGGCCAAAGUUUAAAAUUUAAUCAGAAAGCUAAAUAUUGCACUAGCUUCAGGAUGGGACUAGGCGUUCUCUUGUGGUAUAGCAGGUUAAGGACCCAGUGUCACCACUGCUAUAGCAUGGAUUUGACCCCUGGCUUGGGAACUUCCACAUGCCACAGGUGUGGUCAAAAUCUUAAAUAAAUCAAUAAAGGAUGGAUUAGUGUUCCAUGACUGUCCUAUAUGGAAAAUGAGAUGAUGACCAGCACCUAGAGACACAAGUGUGGCAGGAGUCAGAAUUAACUGGCCCACUCUACUUGUAGAAUAAAAUCUUUUUCUAAAACCCACAAACUAAUAGAUUAGGGUUUGGAGGGCAAGUCAGCAAGAGUAGCUCCUUAUCUACAUGGGUCAGGCCCAUUGAUUGUUUACAAGUGAAGAGAUGGAAUAUAAUACAUAUUAGUAGUGGACAUGACCCUUGGCCAAGAAUUCCAGAGUCUUCCUUGCACAUGCUAUUUACAUGAAGUACUGCAGUAGUCAGAGUAUACCACCUCCACGGAUGUCUCUAGUAGAUGAGAAUUUAAGACUGUACAGAGAGAGCAAAAUGAGCAUGGGAAGGAAAGUAUAGUUAGUUCACAGAACUUUCAGUGCUGUAGCUGCUAUUCAGUGUGAUGGGUGGAAAUAAACCACCCCAUGGGAGUGGAAUCUGUCCAGAGAAAGAGAGAAAUGGCUUAUGUGGGAAAAUGUUGGUUGGAGAAGCAUUUGACAGUUUUCAUCAGUUAUUAACACAAAGGUCAGAGAGAAUAAGUGUAGAGGGGGGAAAAGUGGGAAAAGUUUGGAAAAGUAAUAUCUAGAUUUUUAGAGGGAUUCUGAAGCCAUGAAUACCAAGGCUGGUCAGCAUGUUUUUUUUGUUUGUUUGUUUGUUUGUUUUGUUUGUUUUUUGUUUUGUUUUGUUUUUUGCUGAGAAAAACAGCAAGAGAAAACCAGCAAGAGAAAACAGAAGGUCGAUGUACUGAUGGAGUGAAGAUGAAUUUUUUCAAUCAUCUGACAACAAAUAUAUGCUUCAUGUGUUGUGAUCUCUGGCUGUCUCUGGGGCUUUGAUCAGUUAUGAAUGUUAUUUCAUCAUAUGCAUGACCUGUGGGGGAAGAAAUCCUAUAUAAAUGAUUGGGAUUACUGCACCAUGCACCUCACAGCUGCAUGAAGUUUGUAAAUAAUUGAACAAGAUUUUCAUGCCACAGCCAACCUCCCAGGUGAAUUAGAUAUAGUACACAUUAAAAUCAAAUAAAAAGUUAGAUCGCUGUAGUUCCAUCUGGGCUUGUUAUCAUGUGAAGUCCUGCUUGUAAUGAAGAAUACUCAAGGAUGACAUCUGAAACAAUAGUUCCUCAGGUUGAUGAGUUCAGUAAUGAAUCGCUCUGUUAUUUCCUUCCAAGACUGAUUAAAAUAGUACUUGAGCUUCUGAAAAUACUGAAGUGCUUAUAAAUGAAGCAAAAAAAGAUAUCUGGUGAAAAACAAGACAGGGCAUGCUCAUUCAGCGGUCAGUGUCUUUACAGCAAAAACAAAUCCCUUCAGCAAACUCAUGAAUGAAAACAUUGCUUUCAUGUUGAAUAAUUCUGAUUUUGUGAGAGAGCCUUCUCUCCAAGUGGGUUGAUCAUAACUUCUAUCUAAUGUAACUGGACCAACCUUAAGAAUCUAUUGUUUGUAGAUUCAUGAAUAGAGUCUGCCAGGGUAUAUAUCUUACCUAAUUAUGCAUUCAUUCAAGGAUCACAGAAAAAGCAUCAAAGUUUUAGUUUCUGUGGGUAAAAUAAAACUGAUGUAGAUUUAGCUUUGACAAGGAGGAGCACAUAGACAGGAAGAUAAUUAAUACCUGUUACUCACCAGAUUAAGCUAUAUUGUGAUAUAGUCCAUAGAAAAGCAUAAAGUAUUAUAAA